CGACACCGGCAUUGACUGCAAGGCUAACACCAUCUGCUGUCACCGCACAGCUGGCACAAAGUGUCACGGAUCGUUGUACUUCGCUAAGCAUGAAAGUCAGCGCUACGUCCUCGCCGACGCAAGCGCGACUGAGGCACUCGAGUGACUUCACUUUCCAUCAGAGCGGAGUCAAACGUGGAGUCAUAGAUGCCGACUAGUCCUCCAAUCCAGUAACCUCGGGCUCCGAUCGCCCCGUCGGGGUCAGCGGUCGACGCGUCCGUCCACGACUUGAUCCAGAGCUGCUGCGUUGCCUGGGCCGCGGCUGAAGCUGCUAGCACGACAACUCCCGCUAAUGCUGGCCAUUGGGUGAAACGGACGAGGCCCACGAGAAGCUGCCAGAAGGUCUGUGAGAAGAGCAAGCGACCAUGAACUGCACACAGAGUCCAGGACAGCGUCGAGCAAGUUAACCGCAAGCAGGCACUUGACCUCUGCCUUCCGCCAGCUGAGCACAUUCGCCUGUAGGGCAUCUUCCCAUGCGUACAUCUUCACGACGCGGAUGUUGC
This is a long non-coding RNA of Dermacentor albipictus, 542 nucleotides long. RefSeq lists it as uncharacterized. Lineage: Eukaryota; Metazoa; Arthropoda; Arachnida; Ixodida; Ixodidae. The record is from RefSeq and is a predicted model, not a curated record.